This is a non-coding RNA of Pimephales promelas (fathead minnow), 865 nucleotides long. The record is from RefSeq and is a predicted model, not a curated record. NCBI's taxonomy places the organism in Eukaryota, Metazoa, Chordata, Actinopteri, Cypriniformes, Leuciscidae.
UUGAAAUCCUGGUGUUAAGGACUUUUAGAGUAAAGUGUUAAUUUUCUGGUGUUGAAUUUCAAGGGAUUAACACUGCUAGUGUAAACCACACUCUCUGGCUGGUGAAAAUAUGUGGAGUUAUACACCAGAGAUGCUUUGAGAACACCGAGAGUGUUACUAGUCACAUCCGGGACAUUUACGCGCUGGGCGGGACGAAACGAGUUGAAACUUUCUUCACAGGCGCCAUGUUCUUUGACUCGAGUCGCAAGACAUGCGAGGAGGAAACACGCAUUUAUUAUGCGUUAAAUCGCAUUUAUAUAUUCAUUUUAUAACACCAUAUUGUUUUAUAACAAUAUGUAUGUGCUGUGGACGAGCAAACCGCUCUCAGAAGGGGUAUUUUCUAUGACGCGCGAUGCGGAGCAGACCAGGAUGGGUUUGCUUUUUAACAGGGAAACAACGAAAACGACAUCAUCUUUGAAACACGGAGCUGACGAGGAGGAGGCUUGUAGCUAACGUUAACAGGGAAACACCUAAAUCUAGGUCCUGCAUCUUCUUUGACUCGUGACCUGCUCGUGACGCAUUUCAAAAAGCAGUGCAGAGUGCAGACACGGAGUUUGCUUUUAACAAUAAAAACACCGAUUAACAGACCUAACGUUAACGUAUAAAACAGAAGAACAACUCCACAAACUGCGGACCAACAAUGCACGUGGAAUUUGCACUUUAUUUCCUUAUUUGGAGGACCAAUCUUUUUAGAAUGGGAGCAUUUCUAUGAUGCACUAUGAUUUCUAUGAAGUGACUAAGGGUACCAGGCUUGGUGUUUAAAGACUGUACAGACUAGAACCUGGUGAUGGAAAGAGAACAGAUAAGUUAACAUAUGAGAGAAUCA